UUGGGUUUCGGGUUUGGGCUCGGAGAAGGGAUGGGACCCUGGAGAGGAAAAGAGAGAAGGAGUAAAGCUAAUCUUACCCGAUCGAUCAGGCGAUCGUGUGUGCCGUAUCGGGAUACGAAAAUGGCAAGAGCAUGCAUUCGGCAGCAAAGCCAUUUCUAGCAUACCUCCCUCGGUAACUGUGCAGGAAUCAGAGGGGACGCGAAAGCCUCACAGCCUGUCACCCGCUCCCCCAGGAACGGUCCUCAGAACCUCCAAAGCUCUAGCUUCUAAAACAAGGCAUUCGGAGCUGAGGUUGCGGAUGGAAGUGAAUUGCCUUGAGUCGCGGGCUGCAGAAUUCUCCGAGAAAACAGGAUCUGGGAGGGCUCCUCCUGCCACCGCUGCAGCUUGUAACCACGGUUCCGGGCCCCCUUGCCUAAGCCUCCGGCACAGCGCCCCCGAAAGCGCCCGGCGACUCGGCCUCAUCCGCAUCUUCAGCCCUUAGAUUCCCCCCCGCCAAUGCAAAUCGCUGAUGAUUUGGUCAUCCUAAAGUGACCACAGUGGUUUAUUUGGGAGGGUUGGUUGUGUUGGGCUUCCUUAUUACGCCUCCCUCAGUUGCUGCGAGUGAGAGAGUUCAAGGGAAAUCCUAGUGAAAUACACUGAUGGAAUACUAUUAAUCCUAAUAAUAAUGUUCCCAACGCAGGUAACUCUUAAAGAACUGAGAGUGGGAAGAUCAGAUCAGGAUUUCCGAAGCAGUGCCCUCUUGAAUUCUCAUUGGAUCCUUCCCAGCAGCCUAAAUCAUUCUUGCUGCUGUAUCUAUCAGGAUGACUACAGCCUUGCUCACUAGUACUCUCUUUAUCUCUUGUCUUCAACACAUCCUUUUACUUCUCUCUGCAGAUUUAUCUGUAUUUCACCUCCUGUUCUCUGGGGUUCCACAGCUUCUAUUUUCCCCCACUGUAUGGGCAUGUACAGUCAGUAAAUUUUCACUUUUUCUGACUAAGGAUCGUUACAAAUAAGUACCCCCACCCCCCAAAAUAAAAGGCACCUCUUUCACAUUUUCUUUCUUUUCCUUGGGGGUUCAUGGCUUUCUGUGUAACUGGUUUUUAGUUGGUUUCAUGCCACCAGGAACUGCUGAUUUUUUCAAAGUUCCACCACCCUGCAGCUCAUCAGUACCUGAUUUGGAAGAUCAUGGAAUAUCUGUUUGAAUCCUGGAUAUAUUUUUCUCAUAGUCAUCUUGCUUCCUGAAAUGUCCUCUGGUCGAGAACGUGAUCAGCCGGUCAGAGCAGGGACCUCCUUCUGAUGGGAAUCCGUUUGGGAAACGCUGGGGAGGCUCUACCUCCGAAGAUAAGAUGCCUGUUUCGAGCUGUGUGAGAUGCCAACCAGAGGCUUGAAAAGAGGAAGAGGUGACAGGGGGUUGCAAAAUAACCCUAGUAUUGCUUACAAAUAUUCUAGCCAGUCAAAUGUAUGUAAGCAAAGAAGAAAGCAGCAGGGUAUAAAACUGUCACAGCAGCUUCGAAGACAGAUGAUUCAGAAUUUUGAGAUUUUUUGCAUGCUGUUUAGAUUUGUUUGUCAUCAUGCAGUUAAGCAGGUAAGGACUGAAUGUCUAUAUUUUAUUGACAAUCAUUUAACCUGUUUUUGACCCAUCCUGUGAUCAUUUUUCCCUGUUUCAAGCGAUGGGAUACAUGUAUUUUCAGAUGGUUCUGCUGUGAUGCAUAACUUCUUAGUAGUCACAUUCCCGAACACUUUAAAUCCAUUUAAAUGUUUAAGUUGCAUUCACUUAAAUGCUUAACAAUGUUACAAAAUUCAUAAACUGGGCAGACGUGUGAGAGGAAGAAAUGGGGAGGGUACAGAGUUGGAGGAAAGGAUGCAUAACCCUAAUGUAAAAUAGUAGUUGCAGAAAUGCCUUGAAAUAGUGCUUCUUGUUAAGGUCACAGACCUUAAUAUAAGGACAAUUGGAGAAUUAUAAAGGGCAUCUUGAACUAGCAAUUUAAUUCUGACUACCUGAGAGAAAUAUUUAGUGGGUUACAGCCCUAUUAUUUUCUCAAUUAAAAAAAAAAUUCUUGGGGUGGUGUAGAGAGCAAAAUGGAGUCUCUCAUGUCAAGCAGGAACCUGUGUCUAGCAGGGUUCUGUGUCAAUCAAUGAUUGCUAUUUAAGGUUAAGGUACUGCAGCUAGGAGAUAUCGGGGACCAAUGUCAGCUGACACCCCAGAACUGAUAAAGAGCAGAAGCUGAAGAAGUCUGCAGAGACCCAAAACAGAUUCAAUCCCUUUAGAAAGGGAAGGAUUUGGGCAGCGAACAGUCAGACCCUUCAGACUUGAGCCCUCUCUGUCUGACCACUUAAAAAAGGCAACUACUGCAGAACGCUCUGCCCCGUGGAUCUCCGAACAGAACCGAGAGCCUUCCCUGCUUGAACAACAGAAGCACUCAGUGCCGAGAGCUGACCUGGACCAGACCGAGGCCUUAUCUCAACUGUGCACCCACAGACUGACUUUGCAUUUGGUUCCUUCACUUCUGCACCCUUCUGUUAUCUUGUUUGUUGUGCGGUUUGUCUUCUGUCCUGCUCUGUGUGCUGUGUAAGAAGCCAAAUCUAAUCACACAGUGAAUUGUCAUUGAGUUUGGAAUCCCGAACCUGCUUUAUCAUUGUGAUUUAAUUUUGCUUUAUGAUUGAAUAAAGCUGACAUUGUGGAGAGACACAA
This is a non-coding RNA of Leptonychotes weddellii (Weddell seal), 2671 nucleotides long. The record is from RefSeq and is a predicted model, not a curated record. NCBI's taxonomy places the organism in Eukaryota, Metazoa, Chordata, Mammalia, Carnivora, Phocidae.